AUAUAUAUAUAUUGUAUAAGAAGAAUUUUCAAAGGUUUGCAUUUUUUUUUUGCACACUGUGCAAAAACUUACUUAAUUAUCGAAACGCGUACAGCGAAGUUCGAUACUGUUAAUAAUAACUAAAAUUUAUAAAUUACUCACCCAAUUAUGAUAUAUUGCUUUAUAAAAAGCGCUUGGCCGGCGACGAGGAAGUUAGAAUUAUUAAAGAAAGCGAUCCGUAAACUUUCCAUACACGCACAGUAAUACUUACAAGCUACAACGAGACAAACAAACGAUCAUGCAGCGUUUUUUUUUACUACUGGCUGCAGUAGAUGUCAUCGUCAUCUCCUUAUGUGGCAGCAGCUACGCGCGUGAUUCGUACUACCCUGAAGUACGCUAUGUUGAUCAUCAAAAUGCUGAUCGUGGUUCAUACGUUCCUAUAGUACACUACGAUCACACGAAUCAUCCUGAUACUCCUGUCUAAUUGAAGCACACUACGUCGACUGAAAGAGUUGCAUGUGGUUCCGGAGAAUUGAUAUGGCUAUUUUCUAAAAAUAAUGUACAAUUGACGACGAAACGUGUGUAUAUGAAAUAAAUUCUGCGCUUUACUGCUGCAGUGUAUCAAAUAGAGUA
Nasonia vitripennis (jewel wasp) is the source of this 612-nucleotide long non-coding RNA. RefSeq lists it as uncharacterized. The record is from RefSeq and is a predicted model, not a curated record. The transcript is spliced from 3 exons. NCBI's taxonomy places the organism in Eukaryota, Metazoa, Arthropoda, Insecta, Hymenoptera, Pteromalidae.